RNAcentral lists this ribosomal RNA (433 nucleotides) under uncultured bacterium. RNAcentral describes it as "partial 16S ribosomal RNA". It matches the Rfam family "Bacterial small subunit ribosomal RNA", at positions 29 to 507 of the family's 1533-position model. The record is from RNAcentral.
AACGAACGCUGGCGGCAUGCCUAACACAUGCAAGUCGAACGAUAACUUCGGGUCGAUUGGCGCACGGGUGCGUAACGCGUGGGAACUUGCCAUUGGGUUGGGAACAACUUCCCGAAAGGGGUGCUAAUACCGGAUAAGGUGUUAGGACCAAAGAUUUAUCGCCUUUGGAUGGGCGCGCGUUAGAUUAGCUAGUUGGUAGGGUAAAAGCCUAUCAAGGCGACGAUCCAUAGCUGGUCUGAGAGGAUGAUCAGCCACACUGGAACUGAGACACGGCCCAGACUCCUACGGGAGGCAGCAGUGGCGAAUAUUGGACAAUGGGCGAAAGCCUGAUCCAGCAAUGCCGCGUGAGUGAUGAAGGCCUUAGGGUUGUAAAGCUCUUUUACACGGGAUGAUAAUGACAUUACCGGGAGAAUAAGCUCCGGCUAACUCCGUG